This 97-nucleotide signal recognition particle RNA is filed under the name Rhodospirillaceae bacterium. RNAcentral's name for it is "signal recognition particle sRNA small type". It matches the Rfam family "Bacterial small signal recognition particle RNA". Rfam says of the family: The signal recognition particle (SRP) is a universally conserved ribonucleoprotein involved in the co-translational targeting of proteins to membranes. Archaeal SRP consists of a 7S RNA and homologues of the eukaryotic SRP19 and SRP54 proteins. Lineage: Bacteria; Pseudomonadati; Pseudomonadota; Alphaproteobacteria; Rhodospirillales; Rhodospirillaceae. The record is from RNAcentral.
GGAGAUUGGUAGCAGACAGAAUACUCGCCAACCCGGUCAGGUCCGGAAGGAAGCAGCCGUAACGAGAUUUUUCUGGGUUGUUUUACCAAUCUCCCAC